AUUGAACGCUGGCGGCAUGCUUUACACAUGCAAGUCGAACGGUAACAGGCCGCAAGGUGCUGACGAGUGGCGAACGGGUGAGUAAUGCAUCGGAACGUGCCCAGUCGUGGGGGAUAACUACUCGAAAGAGUAGCUAAUACCGCAUACGAUCUAUGGAUGAAAGCGGGGGACCGUAAGGCCUCGCGCGAUUGGAGCGGCCGAUGUCAGAUUAGGUAGUUGGUGGGGUAAAGGCUCACCAAGCCAACGAUCUGCAGCUGGUCUGAGAGGACGACCAGCCACACUGGGACUGAGACACGGCCCAGACUCCUACGGGAGGCAGCAGUGGGGAAUUUUGGACAAUGGGCGCAAGCCUGAUCCAGCAAUGCCGCGUGCAGGAAGAAGGCCUUCGGGUUGUAAACUGCUUUUGUACGGAACGAAACGGCUCUGGUUAAUACCCGGGGCUAAUGACGGUACCGUAAGAAUAAGCACCGGCUAACUACGUG
RNAcentral lists this ribosomal RNA (482 nucleotides) under uncultured bacterium. RNAcentral describes it as "partial 16S ribosomal RNA". It matches the Rfam family "Bacterial small subunit ribosomal RNA", at positions 30 to 507 of the family's 1533-position model. The record is from RNAcentral.